RNAcentral lists this ribosomal RNA (468 nucleotides) under uncultured bacterium. Its description in RNAcentral is "partial 16S ribosomal RNA". It matches the Rfam family "Bacterial small subunit ribosomal RNA", at positions 28 to 507 of the family's 1533-position model. The record is from RNAcentral.
GACGAACGCUGGCGGCGUGCUUAACACAUGCAAGUCGAACGGAAAGGCCCUGCUUUUGUGGGGUGCUCGAGUGGCGAACGGGUGAGUAACACGUGAGUAACCUGCCCUUGACUUUGGGAUAACUUCAGGAAACUGGGGCUAAUACCGGAUAGGAGCUCCUGCUGCAUGGUGGGGGUUGGAAAGUUUCGGCGGUUGGGGAUGGACUCGCGGCUUAUCAGCUUGUUGGUGGGGUAGUGGCUUACCAAGGGUUUGACGGGUAGCCGGCCUGAGAGGGUGACCGGCGACAUUGGGACUGAGGUACGGCCCAGACUCCUACGGGAGGCAGCAGUGGGGAAUAUUGCACAAUGGGCGGAAGCCUGAUGCAGCAACGCCGCGUGCGGGAUGACGGCCUUCGGGUUGUAAACCGAUUUCGCCUGUGACGAAGCGUGAGUGACGGUAAUGGGUAAAGAAGCACCGGCUAACUACGUG